GACGAACGCUGGCGGCGUGCUUAACACAUGCAAGUCGAACGGAAAGGCCCUGCUUUUGUGGGGUGCUCGAGUGGCGAACGGGUGAGUAACACGUGAGUAACCUGCCCUUGACUUUGGGAUAACUUCAGGAAACUGGGGCUAAUACCGGAUAGGAGCUCCUGCUGCAUGGUGUGGGUUGGAAAGUUUCGGCGGUUGGGGAUGGACUCGCGGCUUAUCAGCUUGUUGGUGGGGUAGUGGCUUACCAAGGCUUUGACGGGUAGCCGGCCUGAGAGGGUGACCGGCCACAUUGGGACUGAGAUACGGCCCAGCCUCCAUCGGGCGGCAGCAGUGGGGAAUAUUGCACAACGGGCGGAAGCCUAAUGCAGCAACGACGCGUGCGGGAUAAAGGCCUUAGGGUUGUAAACCGAUUUCGCCUGUGACGAAGAGUGAGUUACGGUAAUGGGUAAAGAAGCACCGGCUAACUACGUG
RNAcentral lists this ribosomal RNA (468 nucleotides) under uncultured bacterium. Its description in RNAcentral is "partial 16S ribosomal RNA". It matches the Rfam family "Bacterial small subunit ribosomal RNA", at positions 28 to 507 of the family's 1533-position model. The record is from RNAcentral.